UGUCUUCAAUGGACAUGUACAUGCCUACGAGAGGUCUAACCGAGUGUAUAACUACACUUUGGAUCCUUGUGGCCCUGUUUAUAUCACAAUUGGUGAUGGUGGAAAUAGAGAGAAGAUGGCAAUUACACAUGCUGAUGAACCCGGAAACUGCCCAGAUCCAUCCACCACGCCAGAUGAUUACAUAGGCGGUUUCUGUGCAUUCAAUUUUACAUCAGGCCCAGCAGCAGGAAAAUUCUGUUGGGACAGGCAACCUGAUUAUAGUGCAUACAGAGAAAGUAGCUUUGGUCAUGGGAUUUUGGAGGUUAAAAAUGAGACUCAUGCUCUGUGGACUUGGCACCGGAAUCAGGACUUUUACAGCACUGCUGGAGACCAAAUUUACAUAGUAAGGCGGCCUGAAAAGUGCCCUGUUGAAUUAAAGAAGGUUUUUCCGUGAGUGCUGGGAUCAGACGCAGAAGCACCUGAAGAUAUUGAGAAGCAAAAAUGAAAAGACUCGAGUGCGCAUCCUAUCUUGAAUACAAUACCAGGAUUAAGUUUGAUAUACAUGUAAUACAAUUUAAUAAUCUCAUUGUUCUUAUAGAUUUACAUGAAAUAUAUCUUUCCAUAAUAUUAAUAUUUUUUUUGUGAGCUGCA
Molecule: unclassified non-coding RNA, 630 nt
Filed under: Hevea brasiliensis (rubber tree)
Lineage: Eukaryota; Viridiplantae; Streptophyta; Magnoliopsida; Malpighiales; Euphorbiaceae
Source: RNAcentral